Molecule: long non-coding RNA, 3382 nt
Organism: Girardinichthys multiradiatus
Lineage: Eukaryota; Metazoa; Chordata; Actinopteri; Cyprinodontiformes; Goodeidae
Exons: 10
Source: RefSeq, a predicted model, not a curated record
GUUGUUAAGGAAAGCUGCAAAUAGAUUGGACGAGUUUCAUCUUGGUCAGCUUUGUCGAAGAAUUUAUUCAAAUUGUCUUUUUUUUUAGCAUCUGCCGGUUCAACUCCACAAGCACAAGGCCCCACCAUAAGGCCAAGGAGCAACACAAUCUCAACCACACCUCAAAUGCCAAAUGUUGCAGGACAACAUCCUGUUGAUGUUGAGGUGUCAAGACUGUUUGCAAGCAGAUCAAGUAGAAGGCAUCCAAGACGCAGCAAUGCAACUGUCAGCCACCUCACAUAUAUACACAUCUUUUGUUGCCUUGGGCGAAAAGAUUCAACAUUUGUUCCAAGGCGACCAGAUAAGGACCGUCUUCAUAGGGCAGGACUGGGUGAGCGGCGCAUAUGUUUCCAAGGUGACUUUCGCAGCUGUCAGGAAUUAACAGAUUGUCUUUAUCAAAACUUUCCAAAGUUGAGGAAUGCAGGUGGCUAUGAGUUGCUCAAAACUUCUGAUAACACAAGGAACCGCCAGCUUUCUGUUAUACAGUGCCCAAAUGAAGGGUACACUGUGCAAUAUUUGAAGGAACCCACCACUAUGAUUCACCACUCUACAAUUUACAUCCGCCCUCUACAGUGCAAUAUCAGCUUGGAGCAGGAAGGGACUGAGGGACCUCCUAACACAUAUAUUGGACCACUCACACCAUGUCUUCUUUGUGGAGCAGAAAUUCCUUUUUCACAGAUAAGGCAACACAAUCAGUCUUAUUUAAGCUGGUCCUUCAACUGAUCUAAGCACACAGCAUAAUCCUCCAGAUAUUCAGAGGGACAUCAGAAAUGGUAAGUACCAUGUACAGGUUAGAAUUAGGACUCAAGUUUAUUACUCAAUAAACACGAUAGAACUCUGUUUAAAUCCAUGGCCACUAGGGUGCCACAUAAUGUUGGGCAGCUGCUUUCCAGUUAUCUCAAUUAUGAGAUCUGCAUCUCGCUAUUAUGGGUUUCUCAUUAGUUAACAUCAAGAUCUCGUAAUUAUGACAGUUGUUCUUGUAAUGACAAGGUUUUUGUAGUUGUUUAUUACUUUGAAUCCUAUGCGCUUCUAAAGUUAGUAGUAAAGGUGAGACAUGAAACUAUCUUUGAAAACACUACUUUUUCCUGUGUGUGUCUGUGUUGUCAGAAAAUAAAUGGAAAACCGGCAUGGUUGUAUGUUUCAUAAGUUUUGCUUGUUGAACAGGAGAUAGGCACCAUGUUUCAAAGUACCUUCUUUGGAUGAAGCAGGUUUAGAAAAUGGUUGGUUGGAAUGGAUGGUUGCAUAUAAUUUUGAUUUAUUUCUUUUUUUUGUAUAUAGAUUCAGAAAUUUUACUGCACUAAUCAGUUUGUAUACACUUUUUUGAUCAUGUUUCUUUCAAGCUUGGAUUACAGAAGUAGUUCCAGCUAAAGCGUCUGAGCUGUACAUUGAGUCAGUACGUGAAGCAAACAAGGAUAGAGAAAGUCUUUCAUUUACCCUGAGUUUAAGGGAUACCCUGAAGGAAAGGAACCGUGCCAUUGUGAGAUUCUACAAAAGGUCACGGGUGCAGUGGACUAACCCACUGCAAUGUCAUCUCAUAGGUAAAACAGUCAUUUAUUUAAAAAAAACUCUGUCAACUCCUCCAACUGCCCUUAUAAACCACACUGUUUUACAUCCAAAACGAAAUUAGUCCAGUCUUGACUCUUCAACUGGAUGGAGACAUAAUGUUGCGCAAGAUUUGGCUUUCAUUUUUGGAGGUGAUGCUGCCAUUGGAGAGGGUGUUAAUAGACAUGUCCUUUUAAUAGUCAUGUCAAACCUUCAGAAUGGAUUCUUGCUUGAUGACGAAACUGGUAUGGUUAUUCAUUUUUUCAUUUUCUUGAAUUGGCAGCUAUGGAGAUUGUUCAGAAAAACCUGUUUAUGUUAAUAUUAUCAAUUGUUGUUUGACAGAUGUGAAGACAUUGCUGUUUGAAGGUGAGCUGGACCAUCUCACUCCUUCUACAUCGAGGUUGCUUCUAGAAAGCGACCUUUUUGUGGUGGCGGGUCGCAUUAUCGGCCACAGCUUUCUGAAUGGUGGUCCUCGUCUGGUUGGCCUCAGCCAAGGAAUCAUCCAUGUGCUGUUUGGAGGGGACCCAGAAACAGCCACUGUAACUGAGUCUGAUUGUGCAGACCAAGAUGUCCGUGAGGUCAUAACAAUGUGAUUACUUAGUUACAGGGAACCAAGGAUUUGUCAGAGGAGGAGAAAUCCAUGGUUCUCUCUUUGACGUUGCCAUGGGAUCUUCCUGGAGUUACAGUCAAUAACAGACAUUGGCUCGAAGAAAAAAUACUCCUCCAUGCUGUUUUGGAAAGAACAAAACAACAGGUCAAACAAAUCCGAAGAGGGCUGAAAGACAGGUGUGUGGGAAUUUUUUAGUUCCAGGCCUGAUGCUGUACCAGUACUUUUUCCAAGGGCCAGAGAGGCAGAGAUAACACCACAGAUGGUAAUCAAUAACAUAAACUGGCCUAAGGAUGAAGAUAUAGAUGAGGACACACUCUCGUUGGAGGAUCACUGUUUGAUCAUGAGCUUCCUCCGAAGAUUCAUAGAAAAUGGAACGCCAGACAGGCUCAAGAAUUUACUAACAUUCUGGACAGGCUGGGGUAUGCUAUGCUCCAAUCUCCAGGUCGAAGUUAUUGACUGCAGUCUCCCACAGUCAUCCACUUGCUUCCUGACUCUGAAGCUAUCCAAAAACCACAAAAACUAUGAAGACUUCCACCAAGACCUUAUGGCAAGCAAUUCUUCGGCCUACUCUGGUUUUGGUCAGAUUUAAGCCGGGCCAUUUAAACAUUGUGUAACAAGUUUAUCAAUUGCAGAAUGUUCUAUGUUGUUGGUUAUCAGAAUGACUAUUAUUAAACUGUUCUUACGGUUCUGUCUCUUGAUAGACAUGGAUAUUCUGGAUCCAUUUAAUACCAAGAAGUAAGAGGAUAAUCUGCUUGUUAAUUAUGUACUUUGACAGUUCUCAGCAUUGUUGUUCAGAUCAACUAUAAAAACACUUUCAUAUUAUUGUAGGACAUUUUCUGUUGAUGCGUACUCAUGUAUUAGCUGUUAUCUGGUUUCCCAAAUAACAGAAUCACCAACUAUGUUCCUGAAAAUGUUUGUUAAAACAAUAAGAGAUUAGACCAACAAAGUAAUUACAAACUGUUAAAUGUGAUGUUAUCAACAAAUUCUUAAUGAAAACUGAAAUGGUAUCAUAACAGUGAUUUUAUUACAAUAUACAAAUCUGUGUAAAACAGGUCAAUGUUCAGAUGUUUAGAUACAAGAUGUCUAACCUAAUAUAUUGUAUGUUCACGGCAAAUAUCGAAUGUAACAGGUAUACCACAAUGUAUUGUUCUGCUGUCCGAAUUAAAAACAUAAAAAUUUGAAAGAAAAAAA